Dromaius novaehollandiae (emu) is the source of this 4063-nucleotide long non-coding RNA. RefSeq lists it as uncharacterized. Lineage: Eukaryota; Metazoa; Chordata; Aves; Casuariiformes; Dromaiidae. The record is from RefSeq and is a predicted model, not a curated record. The transcript is spliced from 4 exons.
GUCGGUGGGGGGACGGCUCCUGUUGCGGCAGGCGUGCCCGGGCGUGCUGGUAAGUCACGAGGAAGUUUAAAAUCCCAAGGACCAAACAGGGUUAAGGUUAACUUGAGUCGGGUACGAUUAGUGCAGCCCUAAGUUAUUUACUUGAGAACUGCGGCUAGGUGAGCAAGAAGAUGGAUAGAAGGCAGACACUCCCAGGCAGCGUGAGGCCUGCCCCACCCGCGGGCACAGACUGCGGGCACCAGCUGACCCAAGCACCAACUGAUCGAACCCCCCGCUGAGCCCUGCUCCCUCCUGUACAGCUGCCCCAAAGCCAUGGGCUUCCCUGGUGCAGCAUGUGUCGAUGGGUCCUCCGUUGCCUCUGACGUCUCCCCAGGCACUUGUAUGCUGCGCAGGGGUCUGGAUGUGUCCAGCAGCGGCACAGCAGCCGGAUGCCUCCUCUUGUCUGGGACACGGGGUCCUUCGCAGCUCUUCUGGGAUGCGGGGCCCUUGGUGAGUUCCCUGCCGCCUCUUCUGGCGUUCCCUGUGAGCUUGUAGAUCGCUCCUCCUCCUGCUCUCCUCUGGUGGGGUGGGAGACCAGUGGCUCCCUGCGCAAAGCUGACGGCCACGUGCGGCACUCCUAUGCACUUACUGUGCAUCUGGGAUGGCACCCCUGCCCUGAGGGCCCUGCAGAGUCCCACCUUUCCUGCAGCCACCCCCCCCCAAAGCCAUUAAGACACCCACAAAUCCUGCCCCAACAGCCCCAGAGGCCCCAAAAUGCCUCCAAACCCUGCUGCAACAUUGUCACUGACUCUAGACCUUCCCCUAAACUCUGUCCAAAGCCCCAAACAUUCAUAAAACCACUCCCAGACGCGGUUCCUGCAGCAGUGAGGCAUUUUAACAAAGAUGGGGUGUGAUCUGCAUCUCUGCCUCGACUCAGUCCCACUUUAGAGAAACGGGAGCUUACAGCACUUCCUGGUGAAGAGUGUUGACGGGUGGAUGCGCAGAUGACAAAGAGAUUUUCUCUCUUUUUUUCUGAGGCGCCUCUCAGAAGCCUCUGUACGUGCGAGAUGUGGCUGGUCUGGGAUAAUCAUGCUGUGCGCAGUGCUUAAGGAGAACAUUACCGUAAAAUGGCGGGCUAAGGAAUAGCCUAAAAAACCUAAAAGGCUUGGGAAAAGCUUAAGAGAACACCGAUGGGCUCUGGGAAGCCCCAGUGAUGCUACAGAAAACAGUGUGACUUUUAGGCACCUCCUCAGAGCAGCAGCAGUCUUUCUCCAGCCUAUAGGGCAAGGGAUACUAUUAAUUACCACCUUUAAUUACUGAGCGUCGUGAAAGCAGAAGGAACUCGAGGGGAUGCAUGGCAGGUCAUGGACUAUACGUAAAGUUUAAACAAGCAACAAUCCCCUUUUCAAAUAGAAACCGUUUAGUCCUAAGUAAUAGAUGAAGGUAGCUUUGAGUAACGUGGAGAGAAGCGGUUAUGUCAGUCACCCUGAAAGCCUCGGAGAAGCGGUCCAAAAAUCUGAUAACCUCGCGGCCUCAGCAGUCUUUGGUUUGUUUGGCAGGGUAGCUCACUGAAAGGGGACGUCUUGAAGAGAAGCAGCUAGACCUAGGGAUCCGGUUGUUCCUUUUGGUCAUCACCUGUGAGGCCAGCAUCCAAGCAUAAGAGGAAUCUAGGAGUUGUGCCAAAAAGAGUGUCACGAGACUCUUGGGCAAGACGGAGGAGUUCAGAUUUGCAGCCCGCCAGAAGAAUGUCGCCCUGGAGGGGUUGCUAGCCUCGAGCUAUAGGUGCUGGCGCGUAUGGCAUUCAGAACCUCAGGGAACGACUGUAUGCUGCCAUGAAGAACUACAGGCUACCGCUGCCCUCGGACCUUUGUAAGUUGUCACGUGUCAAGAGCAGCCUGGAGAAUCCAAACGGCGGCGGAAAGGUUCUCUGCCUGGUCUUGAUGAGGAGCCUUCGGCCGUAGGAAGGUUGGCCGCGUCCUUAUUGGACUUGUGAGUAAUAAGCCGCAGUGCGUGGACCAGCAAAGGAGGGGGGCAAUAGUGACUGGUAGCCCGGUCAGCGGGCGUUGCUGUUGCUGGCAGGGCCACGAGGUCUGUGUGAAGCCUCACCUGCCUGUUUGGAGCUCUGUUUUGGUCUGUUUACCUGGAAUGACCAGUGAGGCCUAAAAUAGGAAUUUUUGUGGCUAGAUGGGUAAGCCGUGAGCCCACCUGUCUUUGCCUUGCUUUGCUGCUUAAUGUCCUAACAGUGACUUGAGACCCCAGAAUAAAAACUGCUACAGCGCUUAAGGGAGGAUCUGCAUUUGCCCAGGUUAGGGAACCAUCAUUAAAGCUUUGGGGGGGGGGGGGGGGAAAGCUCUAAAAUGAGAAUCUCCCAGUGACCUUGGUGGUUUGAUUCACUUGCAGGAUGCUGUUCUGAGGGCCGGCAACUCAAAGAGGAGCAGCUCAGUCCAUUUUGUUGAUACUGUUUUGAGCACAGAAGGGGUCUGGCAGGGUUUUCAAAGAAGACAGGGAAGAGCAAGGAAGACUUGAGGGUGUGGAAAAACUAGGUGCUGCGGGUACUUAAUUUGUUAAGGGCUGAGGGCAUUUGGGGUUAAGCAUCUGAAAGGGGCUAAUGCACGAGGAAUAGUAAAAUACUGUGACUGAACACAGGAUUCCUCCCCAGCCUGGGCCCGUGCGUGCACCCUCGCUCUUGCAGACGCAGACACCCUGGAGCCAUAGGGAAACAGGCAAGCAGGCCCACGAGCGGACUUUGGGCACAGCGGCGUGCAGCGAGCUGUGUGUGCUUGGCAGGUGCUGAAGCCCAGUCGGGCAGUCAAAGGAGCCUCGUCGCAGCCGGGAGCUCUGCGGAGAUGCGCGGCUGGCCGUGGAGGGUGAGCUCUGACUUGCAGCAGGGACACAGCUAAGUCCUGGGCUGCUGCAUCAUAUGCGAGCAGCACUGGAAGGUGCAAGGUGGUUGUCCCCUAAGUGGUUACUGGUGUCGCUGGCUGUGGAUGUUUGCCCACGGAGCUGAGAGGACCAAAAAUAUGAAUUGUCUGACACAGAGAUGAAUUAGUGCUUGCAGGCUUUCAGGUAGGUUCAGUGCAAGUGCAGCUUAGUGCAGUCCCGUGGAGUGACGCUUGCACAUGCUCACAUUUGAAUGGUGGCUAAAACCAAGCCUCUAAACAGCAACUGUAAUGUGAUUCUGGUGCAUGUCUUCCUGUUCUGCUGUGCUUCUAAAUGAAGGGAAAACUUAAGCUGUGGGCAAAACUCCUUGGCUUCUCUUUACUGUUUUCAUGCGCAUGGGUGCUUUGGUGUUUGUCGCUUAAAGCUGAGGGUUUGGAAUUUUUCACUUAAGGUUUAUUGUUUAGUUUGUUGUUGAGGGUCUCUCACUCGGGAGUUAUUGUUUAUUCCUUUCUUUUGUGGGGCUCAGUCUUUAUCAGUCAGUGUUUACAGUUUGCUCAUGUAGCGAUCAGGGCACAGGAUUUAAAAUCCAACCUCAUCCAUAAAUUUUAAAGCCUCGGCAACCACUGGCGUUCCAAGACUUGCAGUUUGUCACUUAGUGUUCAGGGCUUAUGACCUGCUGAGCAAUGAGAAGGGCUAAAUCCUUAGAUAAUAAACUGUAAGCCCUGAAGCCUAAGCAGCAGGCUGCAAACCCUCCUUUGGGCUUUGUAACCUUCCCCUGUACCCAGCGUUCAGCUCUGCGCGCUGACCUGAGCUCUGGAUUUGAUAUGGCGCAGGCCCAUCACACUGAGACUGGCAAUGUGACAGGCGAGCUGAGAGCUGUGGAAGUGUCUUGCAGGGCUCUAGUCUGGGGUAGGGCAGAAGUGCAGACAGGCGAGAUCAGGCAUUUUCCUCUCAUCUCUGAGCUGAAUCCUAGCCCUGAAGGAAAAAGCAGAGGAGUAGGCUGUCGGCUACUCAGACACCUGCCACGUGAAGGGCAGCGGCAAGAGCUGACCCUUUCCGACGGACGGAUGGACGCUGGUGUGGCGAUGACUCUUCAGGCAUCGCAGGUAAGGGGAAGCAUGCUAGCGCUGAGCUCCAUGGCAGACUCGCUUCCAGGUGUUGUUUCUGCGCAGUAAAACAAUAAACAGUUGCUUUAUUCUUUGCA